AACGAACGCUGGCGGCAUGCCUAACACAUGCAAGUCGAACGAGACCUUCGGGUCUAUUGGCGCACGGGUGCGUAACGCGUGGGAACCUGCCCUUAGGUUCGGAAUAACUCCCCGAAAGGGGUGCUAAUACCGGAUAAUGUCUUCGGACCAAAGAUUUAUCGCCUUUGGAUGGGCCCGCGUUGGAUUAGCUAGUUGGUAGGGUAAAAGCCUACCAAGGCGACGAUCCAUAGCUGGUCUGAGAGGAUGAUCAGCCACACUGGGACUGAGACACGGCCCAGACUCCUACGGGAGGCAGCAGUGGGGAAUAUUGGAAAAUGGGCGAAAGCCUGAUCCAGCAAUGCCGCGUGAGUGAUGAAGGCCUUAGGGUUGUAAAGCUCUUUUAACCGGGAUGAUAAUGACAGUACCGGGAGAAUAAGCUCCGGCUAACUCCGUG
This 433-nucleotide ribosomal RNA is filed under the name uncultured bacterium. RNAcentral's name for it is "partial 16S ribosomal RNA". It matches the Rfam family "Bacterial small subunit ribosomal RNA", at positions 29 to 507 of the family's 1533-position model. The record is from RNAcentral.